RNAcentral lists this small RNA (410 nucleotides) under uncultured fungus. RNAcentral describes it as "eukaryotic LSU rRNA". The stretch from base 102 to 255 matches the Rfam family "5.8S ribosomal RNA". Lineage: Eukaryota; Fungi. The record is from RNAcentral.
GGAUCAUUAAAGUUUGCUUAAUUGCAUUUACACAUGUUUUUUUAGAGAACUUGCUUGCAAGAACACUAAUAAUUUACUUAGUCAACCAAUAUAAAUAUCAAAACUUUCAACAACGGAUCUCUUGGUUCUCGCAUCGAUGAAGAACGCAGCGAAAUGCGAUACGUAAUAUGAAUUGCAGAUUUUCGUGAAUCAUCGAAUCUUUGAACGCACAUUGCGCCCUGUGGUAUUCCACAGGGCAUGCCUGUUUGAGCGUCAUUUCUCCCUCAAACCUCUGGUUUGGCGUUGAGUGAUACUCGGUUUACUUGAAAUACAUGAAAAGCAUAACUAUUAGGUUUUACCAACUCGUUAUACUAAUCUACAAGUUUGACCUCAAAUCAGGUAGGACUACCCGCUGAACUUAAGCAUAUCAA